CACUGUGUAUUUUGAAUAACAAGUUGAUGACAUAAAUACAGUGAGGAAUAAAACUAAAAGUGCGAUGAGUGCACACUUGACAUUGUUUUCUCGUGCAAUUUGUCUUUGUUGUUAUUCUAUCAUCAUGAUCAAAGUUCCAUUCUUUGAGGGUGGAGAUGCUGUUGCGUAGCAAUCCAUAUAAUUGUCGCAGUAGUUGUUCCACCUGCCACAUGACUGCAAUAAUAGUACUUUGGCCAAGCAAAAACUCAAAAUGUUUUAGGAUCAUUGGGUGGUUUGAUUGAUUUUGAGGUCUCUUUACAACUAGUGGGCUCUCUAGGUGAAUUAUCGGUCUCUUUAGAGAUAUAGGAUAGCAAAAAUGGUUGUAUUUUGCAGGAACGUUAAUUCUCAAGAAGGAAAAUGUUGGCCCUAUAAAAUAUAAAGUGUUUUUUUCAUAAGAAAAUGGCAAACUUACAGUUAACCAUUAGCUUUCCCUUAUAUAACAGAGACUGAAAAGAAAAUUUACUAAGCUCACAAGGAAAACUUCACAAAUAAAAAAGACUAGUUGGGCAUUUCACCAAACACAUGAGGUGCAAGAUCGUAAUACAAAGAAAGCCAUGAACGCUUGAAGCCUAGAGAGAGAAGGGGGAGGUGGGCAACCAAGAAGGAGACAGAGAAAGACCGCGUGAAUAGAGAGAGGGUGGGAAACCUAGAGAGAGAAUGAGAACGAGAUGGUAUGAGGUGGAGAGUGGGGAACGCAGAGAGAGAGAGAGAGAUCGUGUGAAGGGGUAGAGAGGGAAUCCUAGAGAGACCAAAACAGGACAGGAGAGAUAGGAGGUAGGAGGAACAGAGAGGGCAAACAUAGAGAGACCAUAAAACCAAGAGAGAGAGAUGGGAAAAUGAGAGAGAAAGAGACUGUGUGAAAGGCGAGAGUGUGGGAAACCAAAUAGAAAGAAACUAUGAAGGGGUAGAGAACUGGAAACGUAAAGAGAGGGUGUUACAGAGAAAACUAAAGGUAAUUAUAAAGAGAAAGCUAGAGAGAGCAAUUGCAAAGGAGAACCUAGAGAGAGAACCCCUGGCAAAAGGCGCAUAUUUUCACUGUCGGAGUGUAUUCUUAGAAACUGUAAAACCAAAGAGAGACCGUGUGAAAUGAGAAAGAAAUGGAAACCCAGAGAGAGACCGUAAAGCCUAGAAAGUGGGCGCUAGAGAGGUAAAAUGCAGAGGCGAACAAAGAGAGAGACCGUAAAGCCUAGAAAGUCGGCGCUAGAGAGAAACUGCAAAGAGGAGAACCUAGAGAGAGAAACAGACCCGUGAUAGAAAGUGGGAGAGAGGAAUGACACUUGCCUGAUUUGAUUGGGAGACACUGAGAGAUAACGGCCUUUGUAACUUCUGCGACAGUGGUAGGGUUUGUUUGGAGUUGAGAGUUUCACGAAGAAAAGAAGAGAGCGGACAGAUUUUUUUUUGGAAAAAUCACUAAGAAACACCUUAAAAUUAACUAUCUC
This 1478-nucleotide long non-coding RNA is filed under the name Amborella trichopoda. RNAcentral describes it as "long non-coding RNA (ATRI_LNC004152)". The record is from RNAcentral. Lineage: Eukaryota; Viridiplantae; Streptophyta; Magnoliopsida; Amborellales; Amborellaceae.